This is a long non-coding RNA of Gavialis gangeticus (Gharial), 632 nucleotides long. RefSeq lists it as uncharacterized. The transcript is spliced from 2 exons. The record is from RefSeq and is a predicted model, not a curated record. Lineage: Eukaryota; Metazoa; Chordata; Crocodylia; Gavialidae.
ACAAAACUAGUAUCAAUGUCAAGUUCUGGAGGCAGCACUCAGAGCCAGAUCCUUGAAUGUUUCCACUCUUGUAAAUACUUUUGACUGUUCCUUCAUUCCUCUCUACUUUUUUUGCUGUAACUGAUGCAAGAAUUUUCACUUCUGGAAAUGGGAGAGGGUGGGAGUGCGUGCAUGUGGCUUCAAGAGGAAUUGUUUGACUUGACCAAUUGGCUAUUGUUUGUUGAGCUAGUGUAAAAGAUGACUUUCAAACACCAGUGUUGUAUUUUAACAUGCUGUUAUGGGUUUUUUUUGGUUUUUCCUACUGUCCAAUGAUUAAAACCUAUUACUGCUGUUCACAUCAUGAAACGCUGUGAUUAGCACUUGACUGGAUGAGGACAUGGGUAAUAUAGCCUACCAAGGUUUUACUCUGUAAUAUCUCGGCUCUUCACUGGAAUUGACUUUGGCCUAAAUAAAACUUGUUUCCUUCUGGGAACUAAAGUGGCUUUUUUUUUUUCUGUUUUUUUGCUUCCUAUUUUAAUAGCUCAGUUGAGGCUUGCUCCUGUUCUUACUGUGGAUGGUGGGGUACCAGCAGGGAGCUGUGAAGCUUUAAGUUCAAAUGGAUCACAAUGUCAUCUUCAAAUAGUGAGAUCAUG